Molecule: ribosomal RNA, 1424 nt
Filed under: uncultured bacterium
Lineage: Bacteria
Description: bacterial SSU rRNA
Rfam family: Bacterial small subunit ribosomal RNA
Source: RNAcentral
GGCCUAACACAUGCANNGUCGAGGGGCAUCAGGGGAGUAGCAAUACUUUUGCUGGCGACCGGCGCACGGGUGAGUAACGCGUAUGCAACCUGCCUGCAACAGGGGGAUAGCCCGGGGAAAUCCGGAUUAAUACCGCAUAAAACAAGUUCUCCGCAUGGGGUUUUUUGUUAAAGAUUAAUUGGUUGCAGAUGGGCAUGCGUUCCAUUAGGUAGUUGGUAAGGCAACGGCUUACCAAGCCCACGAUGGAUAGGGGAACUGAGAGGUUUAUCCCCCACACUGGUACUGAGACACGGACCAGACUCCUACGGGAGGCAGCAGUGAGGAAUAUUGGUCAAUGGGCGAGAGCCUGAACCAGCCAAGUCGCGUGAAGGAUGACGGUCUUAUGGAUUGUAAACUUCUUUUGUACUGGGGUAAAACACAAUACGUGUUAUUGUCUUGCAAGUACAGUACGAAUAAGCAUCGGCUAACUCCGUGCCAGCAGCCGCGGUAAUACGGAGGAUGCGAGCGUUAUCCGGAUUUAUUGGGUUUAAAGGGUGCGUAGGCUGUUCAUUAAGUCAGCGGUGAAAGUUUGGGGCUCAACCUUAAAAUUGCCGUUGAAACUGAUGGACUUGAGAAUAGAUGAAGUGGGCGGAAUUUGUGGUGUAGCGGUGACAUGCAUAGAUAUCACGAGGAACUCCGAUUGCGCAGGCAGCUCACUAAGCUAUGACUGACGCUGAAGCACGAAAGCGUGGGUAUCAAACAGGAUUAGAUACCCUGGUAGUCCACGCAGUAAACGAUGAUUACUGGCUGUUUGCGAUAUUACGGCAAGUGGCUGAGCGAAAGCGUUAAGUAAUCCACCUGGGGAGUACGCCGGCAACGGUGAAACUCAAAGGAAUUGACGGGGGCCCGCACAAGCGGAGGAACAUGUGGUUUAAUUCGAUGAUACGCGAGGAACCUUACCCGGGCUUGAAAUGUACACGAAUGAAUCGGAAACGCUUCAGCCAGCAAUGGUGUGUAUGUAGGUGCUGCAUGGUUGUCGUCAGCUCGUGCCGUGAGGUGUCGGCUUAAGUGCCAUAACGAGCGCAACCCACAUUGUCAGUUACUAACAGGUUAUGCUGAGGACUCUGGCAAGACUGCCGGCGUAAGCUGCGAGGAAGGUGUGGAUGACGUCAAAUCAGCACGGCCCUUACGUCCGGGGCGACACACGUGUUACAAUGGGUGGAACAAAGGGCAGCUACCUGGCGACAGGAUGCUAAUCUCCAAACCCACUCUCAGUUCGGAUCGGAGUCUGCAACUCGACUCCGUGAAGCUGGAUUCGCUAGUAAUCGCGCAUCAGCCAUGGCGCGGUGAAUACGUUCCCGGGCCUUGUACACACCGCCCGUCAAGCCAUGAAAGCCGGGGGUACCUGAAGUACGUAACCGUAGAGGAUCGUCCUAGGGAAAAAC